UACACUCCUACGGGAGGCAGCAGUGGGGAAUUUUGGACAAUGGGCGAAAGCCUGAUCCAGCAAUGCCGCGUGAGUGAAGAAGGCCUUCGGGUUGUAAAGCUCUUUUGUCAGGGAAGAAACGGUGAGAGCUAAUAUCUUUUGCUAAUGACGGUACCUGAAGAAUAAGCACCGGCUAACUACGUGCCAGCAGCCGCGGUAAUACGUAGGGUGCAAGCGUUAAUCGGAAUUACUGGGCGUAAAGCGUGCGCAGGCGGUUUUGUAAGUCUGAUGUGAAAUCCCCGGGCUCAACCUGGGAAUUGCAUUGGAGACUGCAAGGCUAGAAUCUGGCAGAGGGGGGUAGAAUUCCACGUGUAGCAGUGAAAUGCGUAGAUAUGUGGAGGAACACCGAUGGCGAAGGCAGCCCCCUGGGUCAAGAUUGACGCUCAUGCACGAAAGCGUGGGGAGCAAACAGGAUUAGAUACCCGAGUAGUCCCAUGA
This 477-nucleotide ribosomal RNA is filed under the name uncultured organism. RNAcentral describes it as "partial 16S ribosomal RNA". It matches the Rfam family "Bacterial small subunit ribosomal RNA", at positions 332 to 800 of the family's 1533-position model. The record is from RNAcentral.